Molecule: ribosomal RNA, 460 nt
Filed under: uncultured bacterium
Lineage: Bacteria
Description: partial 16S ribosomal RNA
Rfam family: Bacterial small subunit ribosomal RNA
Source: RNAcentral
CCUACGGGAGGCAGCAGUGAGGAAUAUUGGUCAAUGGACGAGAGUCUGAACCAGCCAAGUAGCGUGAAGGAUGACUGCCCUAUGGGUUGUAAACUUCUUUUAUAUGGGAAUAAAACGUUCCACGUGUGGGAUUUUGUAUGUACCAUAUGAAUAAGGAUCGGCUAACUCCGUGCCAGCAGCCGCGGUAAUACGGAGGAUCCGAGCGUUAUCCGGAUUUAUUGGGUUUAAAGGGAGCGUAGGUGGAUUGUUAAGUCAGUUGUGAAAGUUUGGGGCUCAACCGUAAAAUUGCAGUUGAAACUGGCAGUCUUGAGUACAGUAGAGGUGGGCGGAAUUCGUGGUGUAGCGGUGAAAUGCUUAGAUAUCACGAAGAACUCCGAUUGCGAAGGCAGUUCACUGGACUGCAACUGACACUGAGGCACGAAAGUGUGGGUAUCAAACAGGAUUAGAUACCCCUGUAGUC